This is a non-coding RNA of Acanthosepion pharaonis, 115 nucleotides long. NCBI's taxonomy places the organism in Eukaryota, Metazoa, Mollusca, Cephalopoda, Sepiida, Sepiidae. The record is from the annotation of a GenBank genome assembly.
UUACGGCCAUAUCCCGCUAAAACACCGGUUCUCACCCGAUCACCGAAUUUAAGCAACGUCGAGACUGAUCAGUACCUAGAUGGGUGACUGCUUUGGAAAUACCAGGUGCUGUAAG